RNAcentral lists this transfer RNA (63 nucleotides) under Terriglobia bacterium. RNAcentral's name for it is "tRNA-Phe". The record is from RNAcentral. Lineage: Bacteria; Pseudomonadati; Acidobacteriota; Terriglobia.
AGCCCUCCCCUGGUGAUAGAGCGCAGCCCUGAAAAGGCUGGCGGCGGCGGUUCGAUUCCUGCC